RNAcentral lists this unclassified non-coding RNA (324 nucleotides) under soil metagenome. RNAcentral describes it as "partial contains 5.8S ribosomal RNA, internal transcribed spacer 2, and large subunit ribosomal RNA". The stretch from base 1 to 120 matches the Rfam family "5.8S ribosomal RNA", at positions 35 to 154 of the family's 154-position model. The record is from RNAcentral.
GAUGAAGAACGUAGCGAAAUGCGAUAAGUAAUGUGAAUUGCAGAAUUCAGUGAAUCAUCGAAUCUUUGAACGCACAUUGCGCCCCCUGGUAUUCCGCAGGGCAUGCCUGUUCGAGCGUCAUUUCAACCCUCAAGCCCCGCUUGGUGUUGGGCCCCGCCCGCUGUGGCCGGCCCUAAAGACAGUGGCGGCGCCGCCUGGCCCUCAGCGUAGUACAUCUCUCGCUCCAGGGUCCGGUGGCCGCCUGCCAGAACCCCCCAACUCUGUGGUUGACCUCGGAUCAGGUAGGGAUACCCGCUGAACUUAAGCAUAUCAAUAAGCGGAGGA